UCUCCUACGGGGAGCAGCUAAAGGGGGAACCCUGAUGCAGCGACGCCGCGCUGUAUUGAAGAAGUAUUUCGGUAUGUAAACUUCUAUCAGCAGGGAAGAAAAUGACGGUACCCUGACUGAGAAGCCCCGGCUAAAUACGUGCCAGCAGCCGCGGUAAUACGUAUGGGGCAAGCGUUAUCCGGAUUUACUGGGUGUAAAGGGAGCGUAGACGGAUGGGCAAGUCUGAUGUGAAAACCCGGGGCUCAACCCCGGGACUGCUUUGGAAACUGUGCAGCUAGAGUGUCGGAGAGGUAAGUGGAAUUCCUAGUGUAGCGGUGAAAUGCGUAGAUAUUAGGAGGAACACCAGUGGCGAAGGCGGCUUACUGGACAAUAACUGACGUUGAGGCUCGAAAGCGUGGGGAGCAAACAGGAUUAGAUACCCUGGUAGUCCACGCCGUAAACGAUGACUACUAGGUGUCGGGGAGCAAAGCUCUUCGGUGCCGCAGCAAACGCAAUAAGUAUUCCACCUGGGGAGUACGUUCGCAAGAAUGAAACUCCCAGAAUUUGACGGGG
RNAcentral lists this ribosomal RNA (552 nucleotides) under uncultured bacterium. Its description in RNAcentral is "bacterial SSU rRNA". It matches the Rfam family "Bacterial small subunit ribosomal RNA", at positions 348 to 918 of the family's 1533-position model. The record is from RNAcentral.